CGCACAUUGCGCCCCCUGGUAUUCCGGAGGGCAUGCCUGUCCGAGCGUCAUUAAUCUAUCUCAAGCCCGGCUUGAUGGUGGGUCCAACCGCUGUGGCGGUCGCCCCGAAAGACAAUAACGGGCCCCGCAACCCGUGGAUGCAGCGAGCUUUUUAGCACGCGUCCCGGCGUUGUGAGGCGUGUCUUAACCCCAUCUUAGGUUGACCUCGGAUCAGACAGGAUUACCCGCUGAACUUAA
Molecule: unclassified non-coding RNA, 237 nt
Filed under: Neocatapyrenium rhizinosum
Lineage: Eukaryota; Fungi; Ascomycota; Eurotiomycetes; Verrucariales; Verrucariaceae
Description: partial contains 5.8S ribosomal RNA, internal transcribed spacer 2, and large subunit ribosomal RNA
Source: RNAcentral